RNAcentral lists this ribosomal RNA (516 nucleotides) under Limosilactobacillus fermentum. RNAcentral describes it as "bacterial SSU rRNA". It matches the Rfam family "Bacterial small subunit ribosomal RNA", at positions 28 to 500 of the family's 1533-position model. Lineage: Bacteria; Bacillati; Bacillota; Bacilli; Lactobacillales; Lactobacillaceae. The record is from RNAcentral.
GAUGAACGCCGGCGGUGUGCCUAAUACAUGCAAGUCGAACGCGUUGGCCCAAUUGAUUGAUGGUGCUUGCACCUGAUUGAUUUUGGUCGCCAACGAGUGGCGGACGGGUGAGUAACACGUAGGUAACCUGCCCAGAAGCGGGGGACAACAUUUGGAAACAGAUGCUAAUACCGCAUAACAGCGUUGUUCGCAUGAACAACGCUUAAAAGAUGGCUUCUCGCUAUCACUUCUGGAUGGACCUGCGGUGCAUUAGCUUGUUGGUGGGGUAACGGCCUACCAAGGCGAUGAUGCAUAGCCGAGUUGAGAGACUGAUCGGCCACAAUGGGACUGAGACACGGCCCAUACUCCUACGGGAGGCAGCAGUAGGGAAUCUUCCACAAUGGGCGCAAGCCUGAUGGAGCAACACCGCGUGAGUGAAGAAGGGUUUCGGCUCGUAAAGCUCUGUUGUUAAAGAAGAACACGUAUGAGAGUAACUGUUCAUACGUUGACGGUAUUUAACCAGAAAGUCACGGCUAA